RNAcentral lists this transfer RNA (58 nucleotides) under Dipodomys ordii (Ord's kangaroo rat). It matches the Rfam family "tRNA", at positions 8 to 63 of the family's 71-position model. From Rfam's summary of the family: Transfer RNA (tRNA) molecules are approximately 80 nucleotides in length. Their secondary structure includes four short double-helical elements and three loops (D, anti-codon, and T loops). The record is from Rfam by way of RNAcentral. Lineage: Eukaryota; Metazoa; Chordata; Mammalia; Rodentia; Heteromyidae.
UGGCUCAAUGGUAGAGCGCUUGCCUUGCAUGCAUGAGGCCCUGGGUUCAAUUCCACAG